CGACCCUGUGCGGGAGAGUUCCCCGGCUGACGGCCGGGGGCGCCGAAGGAGCAAAUCCUCCCCGGAAUCUCUCAGGCCCCCAGUACCGCACGGGUGAG
This 98-nucleotide non-coding RNA is filed under the name Streptomyces uncialis. RNAcentral describes it as "Glycine sequence". It matches the Rfam family "Glycine riboswitch aptamer". From Rfam's summary of the family: This family represents the bacterial glycine riboswitch. Glycine riboswitches usually consist of two metabolite-binding aptamers domains with similar structures in tandem. Lineage: Bacteria; Bacillati; Actinomycetota; Actinomycetes; Kitasatosporales; Streptomycetaceae. The record is from Rfam by way of RNAcentral.